Molecule: non-coding RNA, 72 nt
Organism: Phrynosoma platyrhinos (Desert horned lizard)
Lineage: Eukaryota; Metazoa; Chordata; Lepidosauria; Squamata; Phrynosomatidae
Source: the annotation of a GenBank genome assembly
GCCAGUGUGGUGUAGUGGUUUGUGUGUAGGACUAUGACUCUGGAGUCCAGGGUUCAGUUCCCUGCUCAGCCA